This 7191-nucleotide unclassified non-coding RNA is filed under the name Portunus trituberculatus (swimming crab). Its description in RNAcentral is "uncharacterized LOC123514638, transcript variant X1". Lineage: Eukaryota; Metazoa; Arthropoda; Malacostraca; Decapoda; Portunidae. The record is from RNAcentral.
CUGGGAGCGUGAGGCCGCGGUGGAGCACGCUCGGACAGGGCGCCACAUGCUGCCGCCCGUCCAGAGUCCUGCAGCUGACAGGGCGCCACCGCAUUGCUCCUCGCGACCCUCUCGGUUACGCUCCCCCAGACUUGUGUUCCAGUGAACAGUGUGUGUGGUGACGCCGCGCCGCGAGUGAUGAGUGUAGUGACAGUGACCAAGCUUUUUAAUGAGUCAGUGUGUCCAGUGCUGUGGUGGCGAAAAUCGAGCGCAUACAUACACACAAGGAAAAAUUUUCGUCUUGCGCAAAUGCAAAAAAUUGUAGUGAAAAGUGGUGUGUAUGUUUCACGCAACGCUCCAGGAGUAUUAAUGGCCCUCGCGCCGCCGCCACGUGCUGUGCCGAACCACGCCUCCCAUGGAUAGAGUGAGACCAUAAGUACAGAGUGCACAGCAGGUGAGAGGAGCGGCGCCGGCGAGCGUGUGGGCCUUUGCGUGGUCUGUCUCCCUCUGCUGCCUGCGUCCUCGCUGACUAAGCCGUGAGUCAGGUCCGUCUUGCUCACAAACGCGCGUAGGCGGGGAGCUGCACGUGCUAGAGGGAACCUGCCCGACCCGCGCCGCACAACGCUGUACCCGGGACCAGGUGUGACCAGCAGGCAGGAUGACCGUCGCUGUGGCCGCGUCAUUUCACGACCUGCCGCUGUCCCUCGCCCUGCUGCUCGGCAUGGAUGACGUCCCAGACGCCCCGAUGCGUCACCCUCCGCCUCCCCCUUAUACUCCCCGGACUACAACGCCCACUACCACCCACGGGCCACAAAUCCUACAUACCCUUACCACCCCCACGCACUCCCCAAGGACGACAGGUGACCCACUCACUCAACAAACUCUACCAAAAACAACGUUCGACACCUUCAUGCCUCACCAUCAAGCCUCGACCUCUUUUGAGAGUUACACUGCGGUCAGCGGCCCUGCAGGUUCCUCCUGGGGAGGAGUGUCCCCUGAGUCUGCUAUCACGCCUUCACUGAGUUUUUAUGGGUCACCUGCCCUCUCCAGCCCUUCCCCUCGUCCGACUCCAACGCCAGAGGGCACAACAUACUCACAUCACACGGAGAGGACUUCACAUAGAGUCAGCGUUACCGUGACCGACUUAACAUCGGUCACCCCACAAAACAUUCAGGCACAGAGUGAUUACACGGGCACCUUCACUGAAUCUGGAUACACCGCGGCGCCAAGUCCAGGCCCGAGCUACACCUCGCUGGCCCAGCUAGUGAGCGAGGACCUACCUGGCUCCUCCGACUGGUCCAGCAUCAGCGGCGCCACUGUGGGUCUGGAAGGAUGGGGAGUGGACCCACUUCCGCCCGCCUGGCCCUCCCCUGUCACUACUGUCACCGCACCCAGUGACCCUGCACCAACGUGGGUGUGGCCCACCCAACCCACGGGGUCUGAAAAUCCCUGGCACCUUCAGCCACCUCCAGUGUGUUCCCCGACCCGCGAAUAUGCUGCACUAAGCCCUGCCAGCAGGGAAGUUUCCCAGGGGUUCUUCCGCGGGAAUGGCGCACCCCAUGGCCGCCGCUCCGCCUCCCGCUCGCCUCUCAGCCCGACAGGCGCUGCGUCAACCCCCUCGCCCCGAGGGGACCUCCCGCCCCGCUCCCCGCUCGCACUACCAGGCUCACCACACGACACGCGCUCAGCAGACCGGCGUCGCUGGAGAAGACGACAGCAGCAGCAACAGCAUCAAAAAUCUCAGCAGAAGGGUGAAGGGAAGGAGGGAGUUUGGUGGGGGUGUGGUAGCGGGUGGCGGCGGUGGUCGGGGCAGCCCCGCCGCUCACACAGUCUGGUCCCCAUGGAGAGUGCGGGAGGAGCGCGGCCGGUGGAGAGUGGAGGCCCCAGCCCCUUGAGAGGCAGUUCCCCCGGUGACCACACCCCACACGCCCCGGAACAACACACGUCACUUGACGAAGGUCAAGACGACGACGAGGACGACGACACAGAGGAGAGUCGAGUCUGCGUCCCGCCAGACCCGCGUGUGUGGGUUUCGGAGGACAUAUCCACGUGGCUCAGAUGGAUAGUGAAGGAGUUCAAUCUGAGAAAGGAGGUGGAUCGGAAGGUGCUGCCAGACACAGGCUGUGAACUUUGUCGUCUGUCACGGCGUCGGCUACAACGGCUAGUGGGGCGUCGUGUGGGGCGGGUCUUGGCGGAGCACCUGGACAUCUGCCUACAGCGGUUCGGCGCCAAACACCCAACGUCACCUGAUCCCAACGCUGACCCCUCCACCACCUUGCCCUCAGACGAGUCUUCCGAGGAGGAGGACGACGAUGAUGACGAUGUGGAUCCCUACGAGCUGCUGGGUCCUCGGUCCUCGCGAUUGGCAGCGCAAGGGUCAGGCCAGAUCCAACUUUGGCAGUUCCUUCUGGAGCUGCUCUCAGACCCCGCCAAUGCCGCCGUCAUCACCUGGGAGGGCACCGCUGGGGAGUUCAAGAUUCUCGAUCCAGACGAGGUGGCACGCCGCUGGGGUGAGAGGAAGUCCAAACCCAACAUGAACUACGACAAGCUUUCCCGCGCCCUUCGGUAUUACUACGACAAGAACAUCAUGACCAAGGUGCACGGCAAGCGCUACGCCUAUAAAUUCGACUUCCGUGGGCUGGAUCAAGUGCGGCAACAGCAGACGGCUGAGGCACAGCGCUAUCCCGCCGACCUGAGCUUCCUCACCGGGUACUCUCAGCUGUUGGGGAGUACCUCUCCCCUUGCUGCGGGGCCCCUGGCACCACCCUCCCCGCAUCCACCACCUCCACUACUCUCUCCACCCCCUUACUGGGCCGCUGUAUCUUCGGCGGCUGCCCUGGCCACCACCUCGCCCCUGGCCACCUCCUCCCCAUUAGCCACCUCGCCCCUGGCCACCUCGCCACCCCUGGGGCUACACGCCGCGCCCCUCACCUCGCCCCUCAGCUCUCCGCAGCCAGACACCCCUACCACUACAACUGCCGCCGCCCAAAGGACGCUGCCCCACUACCCGUACUCAUGAACCCUGCACAGGGAGUGGGACAAGCCUGCCCCCAUCCGCCACAAGCGGGACCUGCUGGAUUACUUGAUGCUGCUGCGUCUACUUACACCCCCAGAGCCUCCCAGAUCCUGGCCUCCAGCUGCAGGCUCCUCUGGCAGGCAAGGGAGUCACCUCGGGGCGUCCUGGGCAACCUCCCAACAACGGUGAGGCCGCGGCACUCCUCGGGGCCUCUGUCCCCUGUUCCCAUCGACUUCGUGGAACCGCGGGGCCGCACCGAGCGAGAUACUCAAAUUAAUCUUUCUCGUCGAUAAGACUCACAAAUGUUCCUGAAAGCCACACCAAGGGUACAGACAGCUGCCACGGCACAGAUAGGCGCAACAAUACAUAAGGCCGUGGCAGCAAACAAACACUAAACACAGGCGUCAGUCAAGUAAUUUACAAAACACCAUGUCCCUUAGUUAAGAAUGCCAGCAGGCGCCAAAACACACAUUCACAUUGGUACCAAACCAUACGUAAAGUGCAGUACAAGGAAAGGUCACAAAAGACUUCCAUAUUCCAUAACCUAUUCAACUUGAUCUCCUCUUCCAACCAAACACUUCCUGUUCUAAAGCUCCACGUGCCAAACAAACCACUCUCCCCUCCUUAUCCUCUUCCCCUCUACGAAAGAUCAGUCAAUAAAAGUGAUAACGGAUUCACAUCCCAUUAUAAUACUCAAAAUCUUAACUCACCACACUUUCGCACCACCCUGACUCUUCACUCUGCAACGCUGUGGACAAGGUUAGGCACCACUUUCUCUAUUAUCGCCUCAGCACCGAGUCCCACACCACCCCAGUGGCACUACUUAUGAGGGCCUACAGAGCCUCGGGGCGUGGCUGAGGCAGAGGAAUCUUUUCAGAUGUUAACGAAAAGUACCUGUGCAACGUCAUGUAGUUUGGUUUGGGGAUCAGUAUUCGUUUUACGAGUGUUGCAAUUGUAUCAUUAAGUUCUAAUACUCCUUCCCCGUAAUAUGUACGAGAAUUCUGUUGUCUUACGUACAAGUCCCCCUUUUGUGUGUGCGUGUAUGUAGUUUCUCUUAAUGUCCUUUUUUGUAUAGUAAAAUGUCUUCAACCUGAGCUUGCACCUGAAUACCAACAGAGUUUUGAGCCAGUAUAGCUGAUCAACUCUUAAAUAAAUGAGUAGUACUAAUUAGGAGGUAGGAAUGUCUACUAGAUGUGUGUGGUGAAGUUUAUAUUAUGCCUCGUAUGUUUUCUUAAUUAAUAACAAUUUCUUUGAAUUAAGAAAUCUUAUACACAUUUGAUCAUAUAAUUGCUCAACUACUUAUAAUCACCAAGGACGGGCCGGUAGUAUCGCAUUAAAGCCACUCACACAUUCUCUUAGAAUUACUGUCAGUCUUCAGGUGCACGCUUCUGUUGAACACACCUUAACAUACAAUGGAUCCAAACAACAUAUACUUCCCAUUAGUUAAGUACAGCGUCCCCUCCCUCGCUUCGCCCCAGCCCAGUCCCACUUUUAAGCAAGUCCUCCACAUAUCAAGCCUAACAUUCCCUCAGCCAGUGCCCAGAUGGCUAGCACAGUGAUCAAGCCGGUUCAUGAUUGGUGCAAUGUUCCUCCAGUCAGGACAGAACAUUCAUUCCUCAUUGUAUUACUACUAGCAUUUAUUUACAUUAAGUGUUGUUAUGCAGUAUUAUUAUAUAGAUGACCUGUAGGUGUUCUGAUUAGGUAUAGUGGCUCGUUGCUGUCAUUAUCGCAGGUGUGUAAGGGUCGCCUGUCUGAUAACGCACCUGACCAUCGCUGACGGUGAGAAGCCUGAGUGAUAGAUAGAAAGAUAGUACGGAAGGAAUGUUUUAAGUAGUUUCGUUAUUAGGGAAAGGAAAGAUAAGUUACGAAAGUGAAAUUUUGUACGUUUCGAAAGACUGUGCUCAUAUCAUAGUUACAAAAAUCAUAAAAAAAAAAUGUCCCAGUGAAUCUAAGAUAAAAAAUAUAUAACACUUUUUGUAGUUUUGUUACGGUAAGAGAAAAUUCGUACUGUGUGUGUGAAAUAUGGUACGUUUUAAUAGUUUGUUUUCAGAUAAUUAUAAAAAUAUAUAGGGAGGAUGCCCGAGUGAUUGAAAGCAAAAAAUCAUUUUUCAGUACCUCGUUUCAUUAUUGAUAAGAAAAAUAACAGUGUGUAAAAUUAUACACCUCUGAAGACAAAAUAAUAUGUAGAAAGUGUCAGUGACAAAAAGAAAGAAAAGAUAAACGCAGGAGAGACGCAUUGUACGCAUCAACUCCUCCAAUUUUCACGAUUACGAUAAGGAAAAAAAGAAGCUCAUUCACAUCCACUGGUAACUAAAUCAAACACUAUGUAGACCGUAUUAAGAUGUUGGUCGAUAACUGUGUCCUAGAAAAAAAUAAAAGAAUCAGCUGACGGUCUACGGUACUCAAUAAGAUUUGCGCACAAAGAUGCAUAAACACGCGCCGCCGUUUCGCCGCAUGUGUCAUGUAAAUAUCAAUUCGCACUGCUUCCCACGCCCAUCUAACCUCCAUCUCUCCUCGGUUCUUCUUGUUGGGACACUUGAAAAACGAUCGCAAGUACACGACACAAAAUUUGAUACUGUCAUUUAGCGUUAAGUUGUCAUGUGUACGCAAUUACUUUGUUUAUAUCGAUUUCCCCAGCUUUGUAUCGCUUCAUUAUAUGUAUUGGGAAAUGCUUCUAGUACUAUAUGAUCUGGAUUUUCAGUCUUCUGAGGGUUAGUUCUCUUUUCAAGUUUUAUAAUGUGAAAGUUUGCCUACACGUAUGUCCUCUAUCAACAAUAAUCUUGUUAUUAAGCUUCUACCCUCGACUGGACUUUAGGACGUAGAGAAUAAGUUUCCAUUUUUGGUUGUCUGUAAGACGAAUAUCCCACCGAUUUAUUAAGUGCUCAUCGUGGUUACUUUUCCACGCCCGUCCUUCAUUUAGUUUGACUUAGUACAUUUUCAAGGACUGGUUAUUGCAAAUCAGUACAAGACUAUCCUUUAUGCCCUUCUCAUCCUCCCAUUCUUCGUCUACUUCUUUUCUUCUUUUUCUUCCACUUCCUCCUCCUUCUGUCUUAUAUUCUUAGGUACAGAUGUUCUACCACGCACCAAGCUGCUAAAUAGAACCGUGAACGCGAUGCCAUAUUAAAGAUAAAUUCAAUCAUUGCACCUGCUUUCCCAAAAAUACACCUUCUCUCUCUCUCUCUCUCUCUCUCUCUCUCUCUCUCUCUCUCUCCCAGUGCGCCCGCAUAACAUUAGGUCUCGCUUAGCUCAUUUCCGACAAUUAAGCGUACAAAUGUUGAUUUUCUGAUUUAGUGAAAAAAAAAUAGAAAAUCACACAAAAAUAACAAAUUGAACUCUAAACUCCUCACAAUGGGCAGACACACACACACACACACACACACACACACACACACACACACACACACACACACACACACACACACACACACACACACACACACACACACACACACACACACACACACACACAGACCAAUCACAAAAUUUCAUUAAUCAUGCGAAACAAAAGACAAUCCCAAGAAUUUUCCAAAAGGGGCAGGACACACCAUUACCUCCAGCCCCCUUCCCCUGUUCCCUUCGCCUCCCUCUGCCCCCUUUCUCUCUCGCUGAUCUCACGCGUCUCCACCACGGGAACGCGAGGCCGACCCAGAGGCUUGUAUUAGUUGUAGAAUAAAUGAUUAAUUUGUACGAAACUGUCACGACCAUUCCUGUUGUUCACCUCUCUCUCUCUCUCUCUCUCUCUCUCUCUCUCUCUCUCUCUCUCUCUCUCUCUCUCUCUCUCUCGACCCAUCUCCACUUUCUUCGUACACCAGAAAAAAAUGGAUCACUGGGUUGUCUGUGCAUGAAUUUUCCUCUUCUCUUUUAUACCAUCGUACUUUUUUUAUUUAUACUUAUAUAUUCCAUUCCCUUUUCAUUUUCUCCUUUACCCUACACUUUUUUUUCUUUCUUGUGACUCUCGUUCGUUUUCCAAAUUCAAGUAAACGAAGGAGAUGGCAUGCUCUCUCUCUCUCUCUCUCUCUCUCUCUCUCUCUCUCUCUCUCUCUCUCUCUCUCUCUCUCUCUCUCUCUCUCUCUCUCUCUCUCUCUCUCUCUCUCUCUCUCUCUCUCUGUACCUAACCUUCCCACAUUUCCGGCUUGUAUUGAGGAGCCUCCCGGCCUACUCACUCAUUCACCUCAAUAAAGUGCUAUCAAAUGUAA